RNAcentral lists this ribosomal RNA (406 nucleotides) under uncultured bacterium. RNAcentral describes it as "partial 16S ribosomal RNA". It matches the Rfam family "Bacterial small subunit ribosomal RNA", at positions 30 to 526 of the family's 1533-position model. The record is from RNAcentral.
AUUGAACGCUGGCGGCAGGCCUUACACAUGCAAGUCGAGCGAGCGGCGGACGGGUGAGUAAUGUCUGGGAAACUGCGUGCUGGAGGGGGGUAACUCCUGUCAACGGUAGCUAAUACCGCAUACCCUCAUAUGUGCCCAGAUGGGAUUAUCUAGUUGGUGGGGGAACGGCUCACCAAGGAGACGAUCCCGAGCUGGUCUUAGAGGAUGACCAGCCACAAUGGGACUGAGACACGGUCCAGACUCCUACGGGAGGAAGAAGUGGGGAAUAGUGGACAAUGGGGGAAAGCCUGAUGCAGCCAUGCCGCGUGUGUGAAGAAGGCCUUCGGGUUGUAAAGUACUUUCAGCAGGGAGGCGUUACCCGCAGAAGAAGCACCGGCUAACGACGGGCCAGCAGCCGCGGUAAUUC